This 694-nucleotide long non-coding RNA is filed under the name Nicotiana benthamiana. RNAcentral describes it as "long non-coding RNA (NBEN_LNC032527)". Lineage: Eukaryota; Viridiplantae; Streptophyta; Magnoliopsida; Solanales; Solanaceae. The record is from RNAcentral.
GUGUGUACCAAAGUGAUCCCUUGUGUAAUAAAAGUUGAAGAAUUACAAAAGUCUCUCUCCAUAUAGCUACAUAUAUUAAACCUUCCAAACUACCUCAAUUUCUUCAUUUAUCAACUAAACAAAAUCUCUUUCCUUCUUACAUUUAAAGGUCUUCUACCUUUUAAAUUGUUUUCCUAUAGGGGAGACUCAAACUCACAACCUCUCGAUUGAAAAUGGGGGUUGCUUACCAUCAGAACAACCCCUCUUAUCAUUUAAUUAAGUUUGAGUAAAAUAUUUGUAAACAUAAAACGGGAAUGGAUCAAUCAACAUCACUUCCCAUAUUAUUAUGUUAAAGACACUAGUAUGAAAAGCAUUAUCAUAAUUAACUGUAUCUGAAGAGGCUGAUUGCCUAUUACCGUUAUUUCUGUUCUUCUAUAAUUUUCAGAGCAUCACAAAUUAAUCUUCUCGUCUUAGGAGUAGUUGAUAAUUAAAGGCUUUUGUUUAGUUCCUGUUGACUUAAUUUUUUUUUUUGCUUCUAAGUUUUCUCUUUAUGGAAAAAUCAUGAUGUUAUUUUUUAAAUAAUUAUCUGAUCACAUAAGUAGGGAUGACAAAAUUGUUCAAAGAAAAUAGUUAACCAUCCAUAUUAUCCACUAAAAAAUGAGUUGAGUAAUGAACUUUUUAAAAACGGAUCAAAUAUGGAUAAGAACCAUAUUAU